GAUGAACGCUGGCGGCGUGCCUAAUACAUGCAAGUCGAGCGAACAGACGAGGAUCUUGCUCCUCUGACGGUAUCGGCGGACGGGGGAGUAAAACGUGGAUAACCUACGUAUAAGACUGGGGGAACUCCGUGAAACCGGAGCUAAUACCGGGGAAUGUAUGGAAUCUCAUGGGUCAAGAGUGAAAGACGGGGUUGCUGUCGCUUAUAGAGGGAUCCGCGCCGCAUUAGCUAGUUGGUGAGGUAACGGCUUACCAAGGCAACGAUGCGUAGCCGACCUGAGAGGGUGAUCGGCCACACUGGAACUGAGACACGGCCCAGACUCCUACGGGAGGCAGCAGUAGGGAAUCUUCCGCAAUGGGCGCAAGCCUGACGGAGCAACGCCGCGUGAGUGAGGAAGGUCUUCGGAUCGUAAAACUCUGUUAUUAGGGAAGAACAAAUGUGUAAGUAACUAUGCACGUCUUGACGGUACCUAAUCAGAAAGCCACGGCUAACUACGUG
This 497-nucleotide ribosomal RNA is filed under the name uncultured bacterium. RNAcentral's name for it is "partial 16S ribosomal RNA". It matches the Rfam family "Bacterial small subunit ribosomal RNA", at positions 28 to 507 of the family's 1533-position model. The record is from RNAcentral.